RNAcentral lists this ribosomal RNA (426 nucleotides) under uncultured bacterium. RNAcentral's name for it is "bacterial SSU rRNA". It matches the Rfam family "Bacterial small subunit ribosomal RNA", at positions 354 to 796 of the family's 1533-position model. The record is from RNAcentral.
GUGGGGAAUCUUGCGCAAUGGGCGAAAGCCUGACGCAGCAACGCCGCGUGGGGGAUGAAGGCUCUCGGGUUGUAAACCCCUUUCAGCAGGGACGAAUCAAGACGGUACCUGCAGAAGAAGCCCCGGCUAACUACGUGCCAGCAGCCGCGGUAACACGUAGGGGGCAAGCGGUGUCCGGAUUUAUUGGGCGUAAAGAGCUCGUAGGUGGCUGAGUAAGUCGGAUGUCAAAUCCCCAGGCUCAACCUGGGAUCCCAUCCGAUACUGCUCUGGCUAGAGUCCGGUAGGGGAGCGUGGAAUUCCUGGUGUAGCGGUGAAAUGCGCAGAUAUCAGGAGGAACACCAGCGGCGAAGGCGGCGCUCUGGGCCGGUACUGACACUGAGGAGCGAAAGCGUGGGUAGCAAACAGGAUUAGAAACCCCGGUAGUCC